Molecule: long non-coding RNA, 203 nt
Filed under: Capsella rubella
Lineage: Eukaryota; Viridiplantae; Streptophyta; Magnoliopsida; Brassicales; Brassicaceae
Description: long non-coding RNA (CRUB_LNC001514)
Source: RNAcentral
UUACUAUAGUAAAAAACUUAUUACAUUUAUAUAUAUUCACAAACCAUAUCUGAAUUUUUAAUUAUUUUCUAUGUAAAGGUUAUGUAAUUUUUCUAUGUUGUUAUAAUUAGUCAGACUUAAAAUUAAAUGAAACAGUCAAGUAGUCAACUACUGUAUUUGAGUUAUAGAAUAACAGAAUAAGAAAGGUAUUAGUCAAAAAAAAA